RNAcentral lists this ribosomal RNA (450 nucleotides) under uncultured bacterium. RNAcentral's name for it is "partial 16S ribosomal RNA". It matches the Rfam family "Bacterial small subunit ribosomal RNA", at positions 354 to 796 of the family's 1533-position model. The record is from RNAcentral.
GUGGGGAAUCUUCCGCAAUGGACGAAAGUCUGACGGAGCAACGCCGCGUGAGUGAUGAAGGUCUUCGGAUUGUAAAGCUCUGUUAAUCGGGACGAAAGAGCCUAGUGUGAAUAAUGCUAGGAAGUGACGGUACCGGAAUAGAAAGCCACGGCUAACUACGUGCCAGCAGCCGCGGUAAUACGUAGGUGGCAAGCGUUGUCCGGAAUUAUUGGGCGUAAAGCGCGCGCAGGCGGAACUGCCAGUCUGUCUUAAAAGUUCGGGGCUUAACCCCGUGAUGGGAUGGAAACUACAGAUCUAGAGUAUCGGAGAGGAAAGUGGAAUUCCUAGUGUAGCGGUGAAAUGCGUAGAGAUUUGGAAGAACACCAGUGGCGAAGGCGACUUUCUGGACGAUGUCUGACGCUGAGGCGCGAAAGCUAGGGGAGCGAACGGGAUUAGAAACCCGAGUAGUCC